This 1496-nucleotide long non-coding RNA is filed under the name Ursus maritimus (polar bear). Its description in RNAcentral is "lncRNA (ENSUMAG00000019253.1)". Lineage: Eukaryota; Metazoa; Chordata; Mammalia; Carnivora; Ursidae. The record is from RNAcentral.
UCCCCAACCGCCCAGGAAGAACACCCAGGUCAGAAGCUGAGGGCUCGGAUGGAGGGCCGUCCCAGGAGGUCCCGAGUGUCCGGCGCGUGGGAAGGACACACCUGGAGAACACACCGCCCACAGAGCUGGCCUCCCCUCCCCGCUACACGACUGCUGCGGCUUGCUGCGUUCAAGGCCCUCCACGCUGCACACAGGUGGCCCACAGGCAUCAGCCCCCAUCUUCUCAGAGGACAGCCUCCGGAAGCUUCCUAAAGGCCACCAACGCCAGCAUCCAUUGAAUUGGGAACCCCAGCCAGGCAGGAACCUGCUAUUCCAGAGCCAGACAUCCCAACCCGUGGACUCAGGCUCCUCAGAUCCGGGAUGAGACAGAGGCCCCAUCCCCAACUGUAGUGAGCCCCACUGAGGUCCAGGACAAUGGGCCUGUGGGCCCCAGGGAGCUGCCCAGGCCAUAGGUCUGCCCGCGGUCUGCUCUGGGGUGCACCCCUGGUUCCUGGUUCCCCAGGGCCCCGGACUCCCACCUAGAAGCAGGAAGUAGUCUGCAGGAAACAGCAGGAGGGCGGGGGUAUCUUACUGUCAGGGGCUCUGCCAGGAGGACCCUGGGGUGAGCUGGGGACAGACAUUGGGGGGUUGUGGAUUGGGGUCCCCCCGGCUAGCUGGGCCAUGGGCAUCAGGGGAAGGGCCAGAGGUGAUCUGGACUUCCUUAACCGCGAGAAAAAUGACUCAGCUAAAUUGAGGAAGAUUUCCGUUUCGGCAGACUACUUUUUCCACUACGAUGCUCUGGGACGUUUCCCCUUUGGAGGCUGCUCGAGAUACCUGGCUGAUAAAGGGCUGAUUUGCAGAGACUUAAUUAUGGCCCGAAGCCCUCAGUGUAAACAAUGGGUGAGUGUUUAUUCUACUGCCUCCCCUCAGUGCUAAUGGGGAGCACAAACCAGGUGCCCUGUAGUGGAACUUGGUGAACCUGGAUUCUUGGGUUCCCUAAGCUGUCUCCCCUGUGGGAGGAAGGCAGCAGGGCCAAGGGGUCGGUGUGCGCCCCCGGAGUCUGGCUGCCCAGCUUGGGGUCCUGGCACCACAGAUUCCUGACAACUUGCUGCUCACCUGUAAGGGACAAGGGUGGUCAUCUGGCAUGAAAGGGGAAGGCUGUCGCAUGGCGAGUGCUCAGAAAAGGCCGGACAGCGGACAGCGGUGCUGGGGAGGUGGCACUGUCCUGACCUUGACCCUGGCCGCAGCCCCUGGGAGGAAGCAUGUGGAUCCUCGGGUCCAUCCCAGGCCAGCUGGAUGAGCAGUGAGGUGGCGUGAGUUGAGGUUCUCAGCGGCCCUGCCCACAUCUGCCCCCGUGCCCCAUCCCCGACCACCCAGGGGUGUUCACGAGGUGCCCAGGCCUGCAUGUGGCUGCCUUCUCUACAGGCCUUACAUUCCCCAGGGAUCAAGGUGGUUCCAAGGUGGCAAGUUUGAGGACUGCCCUGUGUACCCUCCCUGGCACACCCCAGCGUAUCCUG